AGCAAAAGAGGUUGAAAAAUCAUAGUCAAAUUGUUCAUCCACCACUAUGAAAAUUCCUUUCUUUUGUCUAGUGAUAGCAACAAUUACCAUCUCUUCAGAGAUUUUGAGGAAAUCAGGAGUAAUGUAUAGCACUGUGUACUGAAAACUGGACCCUUGGCUCUCUCCUAUUGUAAGAGUUGUGAGUGAGAUUGAAUUCAAGUAUCGUUUGUCAGCUUGUGAAGCCACCAAAGCAACUAUUUUCUUUUUCUCCAUUUCCUCCUGAUAUCUAUCCAAUUUGAGAGCUUCCAAAUUUCUCAAAUACCCCACAGUGCAGAUGCCUUGAGCAUAGUAAGGUAAUUGAAUAAUUGGUAGAUUGAAAGCACCGAAUCUAUAGCUCCCAAAUAAGUAACCGAUUUCUGAUUGCCGGAAGAAACUUAACAAGUAACUCAACUCAGCUUGAGUACCAUUUAACUUGGUUGAAUCCUCAGAGAAGAAAUUAGGUUGCAGUAUGUCGCCUGUAAAAACUAUUGGUACCCUAAUGCCUCUGCUAAGGACUCUUUUGAUGUCCUCCUCACUAAUUCUCUUUUUGUUUUUGAUGACCUCCUGAUCUUUUUCAACUUCCUCACUUAGCCACUUCAAAG
Molecule: unclassified non-coding RNA, 620 nt
Filed under: Hevea brasiliensis (rubber tree)
Lineage: Eukaryota; Viridiplantae; Streptophyta; Magnoliopsida; Malpighiales; Euphorbiaceae
Source: RNAcentral